RNAcentral lists this ribosomal RNA (431 nucleotides) under uncultured Bacillota bacterium. RNAcentral's name for it is "bacterial SSU rRNA". It matches the Rfam family "Bacterial small subunit ribosomal RNA", at positions 101 to 521 of the family's 1533-position model. The record is from RNAcentral. Lineage: Bacteria; Bacillati; Bacillota.
AACGGGUGAGUAAUACAUAAACAAUCUACCCAUACGACUGGGAUAACCGUUGGAAACGAUGGCUAAUACCGGAUAGGUGAGACGAAGGCAUCUUCGAUUCAUUAAAGUUGGGCUACAACACGUGUGGAUGAGUUUAUGGCGCAUUAGCUAGUUGGCGGGGUAAAGGCCCACCAAGGCGAUGAUGCGUAGCCGACCUGAGAGGGUGACCGGCCACACUGGGACUGAGACACGGCCCAGACUCCUACGGGAGGCAGCAGUAGGGAAUUUUCGGCAAUGGGGGAAACCCUGACCGAGCAACGCCGCGUGAGUGAUGAAGGCCUUCGGGUUGUAAAGCUCUGUUGUAAGGGAAGAAUGGCGAUGAUAGGGAAUGAUCAUCGAGUGACGGUACCUUACCAGAAAGCCACGGCUAACUACGUGCCAGCAGCCGCGGU